Molecule: ribosomal RNA, 253 nt
Filed under: uncultured bacterium
Lineage: Bacteria
Description: partial 16S ribosomal RNA
Rfam family: Bacterial small subunit ribosomal RNA
Source: RNAcentral
UACAGAGGUGGCAAGCGUUGUUCGGAAUUACUGGGCGUAAAGGGCGCGUAGGCGGCUUGGUCAGUCCCGUGUGAAAUCCCGGGGCUCAACCUCGGAACUGCCUUUGAUACUGCAAAUCUCGAGUCCGGAAGAGGUGAGUGGAAUUCCUAGUGUAGAGGUGAAAUUCGUAGAUAUUAGGAAGAACACCAGUGGCGAAGGCGGCUCACUGGUCCGGUACUGACGCUGAGGUGCGAAAGCGUGGGGAGCAAACAGG